CCCUUAGAUGUUCUGGGCUGCACGCGCGCUACACUGAUGCGCUCAACGAGUUUUGAACUUGCCCGGAAGGGUUGGUUAAUCUUUUUAAAACGCAUCGUGAUGGGGAUAGAUUAUUGCAAUUAUUAAUCUUCAACGAGGAAUUCCUAGUAAGCGCGAGUCAUCAGCUCGUGCUGAUUACGUCCCUGCCCUUUGUACACACCGCCCGUCGCUACUACCGAUUGAAUGAUUUAGUGAGGACUUCGGACUGGGACCGAUGCGGCUUUCGGGCUGCGUCGGUAUUCUGGAAAGAUGUCCAAACUGUAUCAUUUAGAGGAAGUAAAAGUCGUAACA
Molecule: ribosomal RNA, 330 nt
Filed under: uncultured eukaryote
Lineage: Eukaryota
Description: partial 18S ribosomal RNA
Rfam family: Eukaryotic small subunit ribosomal RNA
Source: RNAcentral